GAUGAAGAACGUAGCGAAAUGCGAAAAGUAGUGUGAAUUGCAGAAUUCAGUGAAUCAUCGAAUCUUUGAACGCACAUUGCGCCCGCCAGUAUUCUGGCGGGCAUGCCUGUCCGAGCGUCAUUUCAACCCUCGAGCCCCUCCGGGGGGUCGGCGUUGGGGAUCGGCCCCUCACCGGGCCGCCCCCGAAAUACAGUGGCGGUCUCGCCGCAGCCUCUCCUGCGCAGUAGUUUGCACACUCGCACCGGGAGCGCGGCGCGGCCACAGCCGUAAAACACCCCAAGCAUUCUGAAAUGUUGACCUCGGAUCAGGUAGGAAUACCCGCUGAACUUAAGCAUAUCAAUAAGCGGAGGA
RNAcentral lists this unclassified non-coding RNA (351 nucleotides) under soil metagenome. RNAcentral describes it as "partial contains 5.8S ribosomal RNA, internal transcribed spacer 2, and large subunit ribosomal RNA". The stretch from base 1 to 120 matches the Rfam family "5.8S ribosomal RNA", at positions 35 to 154 of the family's 154-position model. The record is from RNAcentral.